CAGCAGUAGGGAAUCUUCCGCAAUGGACGAAAGUCUGACGGAGCAACGCCGCGUGAGUGAAGAAGGUUUUCGGAUCGUAAAACUCUGUUGUUAGGGAAGAACAAGUCAGGUAGUAACUGACCUGACCUUGACGGUACCUAACCAGAAAGCCACGGCUAACUACGUGCCAGCAGCCGCGGUAAUACGUAGGUGGCAAGCGUUGUCCGGAUUUAUUGGGCGUAAAGCGCUCGCAGGCGGUCUUUUAAGUCUGAUGUGAAAGCCCACGGCUUAACCGUGGAGGGUCAUUGGAAACUGGAGGACUUGAGUGCAGAAGAGGAGAGUGGAAUUCCAUGUGUAGCGGUGAAAUGCGUAGAGAUAUGGAGGAACACCAGUGGCGAAGGCGACUCUCUGGUCUGUAACUGACGCUGAGGAGCGAAAGCGUGGGUAGCGAACAGGAUUAGAUACCCUGGUAGUCCACGCCGUAAACGAUGAGUGCUAGGUGUUAGGGGGUUUCCGCCCCUUAGUGCUGAAGUUAACGCAUUAAGCACUCCGCCUGGAGACGCAA
Molecule: ribosomal RNA, 544 nt
Filed under: uncultured bacterium
Lineage: Bacteria
Description: bacterial SSU rRNA
Rfam family: Bacterial small subunit ribosomal RNA
Source: RNAcentral